AGGAUUUUGGAAAUACCGCAGGAGUAACAACGUCGCUUUUUACCAUUUGUAUUCAUGUUUGAGGUCAGGGCAAGACAUAGUCUAAGCAUUUCAGAAUAUUUAUGAAGUUGGUUUUUUUAUUUAUAUAUAAUGUUAGUUGAUUUAACCGCCAUUUAUUGUCUGUUGUCUUUUUUCGAUAUAAUAAAACACUUACUGACUGGGUAUGAGUAGAAUAGUAUGUUUAUUGUCCCCCGAGGUGCAACUAUUGUCCUGAGGCGUGUACCAAGUUUUGUGGAUUGAAGAAAAAUUACAGUUCAAUUAGUACUAGAUAUUGUGCCUUUGUCAAUGUUUGAAGUCAAAUCCUACCAGAAAUCCAUACUUCCUUCAAAAUUUAAAUUUGUUCAACCUUUAUGCCAAAUAAAUCCACAAAAACUGGUACCCAAAGAAUAGCAAUGAAUGCACAGUAGUACACUGUAGAUAGGUUGGUUGAAUUGAAGCUUGCUUAACAUCCAGUGGCAAAUAUGUCAUGCAUAUUCAGGACUAUAGGCUUUUCCUAUUGCAAAAAUAUGAGGAAACAUUCAAUUUUAUGUUGUUCCAAAAGUAACUUAUAAAAGGACAUAUCUAUGAUAUCUAAUGAUAUUUGUCUGCCAUAACUGGACAUCAAAGAUGUUCAUGUAAAUUUUUGAUGUCACAAAAGAAAAUGUCCGACACUAAAAGUGAAAGUGAUAGCUGGAUAAAGUCAAUAGUUCAAGUGUCACAAAUUUUCAAGUAAAGAUAUGGUAUAUGUCCCUAGUUUCUGUUUUAAAUUACAGUGAUAAAUAAGGGUCCUACAAAAAAAUACAACAGACAUCUAAUUAUUUCUCUUUUUUCUCAUUUUCUAUGAAUGAUUUCUUUUUUGGUUUUUUUUCUUCUUCUUCAACACCUCAAUUUUUUAAUAAUAGUUCAUUAGGUAUAUGAUCGUAGUUCCUGUAUUAAUCUUAGAGUGAUAAAUAAAGGUCCUACAUACAAUAGACUUCUAUUUAUUUCUCUUUUUUAUCUUUUUUCAUGAAUGAUUUCUACUUAGGUAUUUUUUUUAUUAUUUUC
RNAcentral lists this long non-coding RNA (1062 nucleotides) under Mytilus galloprovincialis (Mediterranean mussel). Lineage: Eukaryota; Metazoa; Mollusca; Bivalvia; Mytilida; Mytilidae. The record is from RNAcentral.